GAGUGAACGCUGGCGGUAGGCCUACCACAUUCAAGUCGAACGGCAGCACAGUAAGAGCUUGCUCUUACGGGUGGCGAGUGGCGGACGGGUGAGGAAUACAUCGGAAUCUACUUUUUCGUGGGGGAUAACGUAGGGAAACUUACGCUAAUACCGCAUACGACCUACGGGUGAAAGCAGGGGAUCUUCGGACCUUGCGCGAUUGAAUGAGCCGAUGUCGGAUUAGCUAGUUGGCGGGGUAAAGGCCCACCAAGGCGACGAUCCGUAGCUGGUCUGAGAGGAUGAUCAGCCACACUGGAACUGAGACACGGUCCAGACUCCUACGGGAGGCAGCAGUGGGGAAUAUUGGACAAUGGGCGCAAGCCUGAUCCAGCCAUACCGCGUGGGUGAAGAAGGCCUUCGGGUUGUAAAGCCCUUUUGUUGGGAAAGAAAAGCAGCAGGUUAAUACCCCGCUGUUCUGACGGUACCCAAAGAAUAAGCACCGGCUAACUUCGUG
RNAcentral lists this ribosomal RNA (493 nucleotides) under uncultured bacterium. Its description in RNAcentral is "partial 16S ribosomal RNA". It matches the Rfam family "Bacterial small subunit ribosomal RNA", at positions 27 to 507 of the family's 1533-position model. The record is from RNAcentral.